AACGGAGGGGGCAAGUGUUACUCACAGUGAUUGGGCGUAAAGGGUAAGUAGAUGGUUUAAUAAAUUUAUAUUUAAUUUCCAUGGCAUAACUGUGGUAAUUUAUAAAUAUUGUUUACUAGAGUGUAGGAGAAGUAAAUAGUACUUUUAAAGUAGAAGUGAAAAGCGUUGAUAUUAAAGGGACUCUCAAAGGCAAAGGCAGUUUGCUAUUUUACACUGACGUUCAGGUACGGAAGCAUGGGUAUCAAACAGG
Molecule: ribosomal RNA, 250 nt
Filed under: uncultured bacterium
Lineage: Bacteria
Description: partial 16S ribosomal RNA
Rfam family: Bacterial small subunit ribosomal RNA
Source: RNAcentral